RNAcentral lists this unclassified non-coding RNA (1554 nucleotides) under Hevea brasiliensis (rubber tree). Lineage: Eukaryota; Viridiplantae; Streptophyta; Magnoliopsida; Malpighiales; Euphorbiaceae. The record is from RNAcentral.
UAACAAUCUAUUCCUUAUUCAAUCCUUGUUCUAUAAAAUACCUUACCAGUUGGUAUCAAAGCCCUCGAUUGUCAUGGCAAUGGAAACCUGUUUGCAAGAGUGGAGAAAAGAGAUUGCAACCUUGGUUCUAGAGUUAGAGCAUCAUCAAGAAGCGAAAAUGGAGGCACGAUUACAAGAUAUGGUGAAGGAGUUGAAAUCCCUAAUUGCGGGUAUGGAAAUUUAGUCCAUUAAAGUAGUAGGUGGUAAGAAGAAUACUGAGAAUUCUCAAGCAAAGUAGGAUGGGGAGGUCAUUUCUUGGCCCAACAUAGCGACAACAAAAUUUGAGUUUCCUCGGUUUGAUGGUGAGGGUUUGGAAAGGUGGUUACUUUGGGCUAAGUAUUUCUUUGAGGUGGCUAAUGUGCUACAAGAAAGCAACGUAAAGAUUACAACUUUGCAUUUGGAGCUAAGAGCCAUCCAAUGACACCAAGGGUUUGUUAAAGUUAAGGGAGAAAAGGAAUAUGUGCAUUGAGAAAGUUAUGUUGAAGAUUUGGUUUCUAGGUUUGGAAGUCAUGCAUUUGGUGACCCAAUUGUAGCACUACGUAAUUUGAGACAACAAGAUUCCUUACAGGAGUAUCUCAAUGCCUUUGAUGAAUUGUAUCUAAAAGCAGGUAUAAUUGAGGAACAAGCCUUAUGUUUAUUUCUUUUAGGGCUUAGUGAUGAAUUACAAAUGCCCAUUAGAAUGUUUAAACCAAAAACCUUAUCUAAUGCUUAUUCUUUGGCUAGACUUCAAGAGUUAGCCAUAGCUGCUGUUUGACAAAAGCCAAGAACCUUGACUAAAUCCACAUCUGUUUGCUCCUCUUCCAGAAAUUCUACCUAUAAUAAACCCUUAACCUGACCACAUCAACUUAUCAAAAUAAACCAAUUAAAACCUUCAAAGAUCAACCAAACCCAAACAGUAACUGUACCUAUACACCCAGAUUACCUGCUAGAUUACCACUCACUUUGACAAGUAAAGCUAUUGAUGAAAAGAAAAAUGAAAACUUAUGUUUUUGGUGUGAUGAAAAAUUUGUGCAUAAGCAUAAUUGUAAGAAGAGACAAUUGUAUGUGUUGUAAUUGAAGGAAGUUAUUAAUGAAGAGGAAUUGGAAGCAAUGGUAGAGGAAACUGAUGAAGUUCCUGAAUUGCAAGGUAGUCACUUAUCUCUCCAUGUUAUAUGGGGGAUGGGAGGUAACCGAACUAUGAUGUUGAGAGGGCAAUAUGCAAAGAAGAGACUCAUUUUUUAAUUGACAUGGGCAGCAAACACAAUUUCUUGAAGGACCAACUAGUUCCUAAGCUUCAUUGUAAUAUAAGUAAAGUCUCUGGAGUUUGGGUUGAAGUAGCCAAUGGCCAAGACUUGAAAUGUGAAGCAGCAUGUAAAGGAUUCCAAUGGGCAAUGUAGAGACAAGAAUUUCAAACUGAUGUUUAUAUUUUACCACAUGAGAGCUAUGAUUUGAUUUUGGGCAACAUUAGGCAAUAUUUGUUGGAAUUUUGCUGAUUUAGUAAUGAGUUUUCAGUUGCAAGGGAAAGAUUGUCAUUUG